UACGUAGGGUGCGAGCGUUAAUCGGAUUUACUGGGCGUAAAGCGUGCGCAGGCGGCUCGUUAAGACAGGUGUGAAAUCCCUGGGCUCAACCUAGGAAUUGCGCUUGUGACUGGCGGGCUGGAGUACGGUAGAGGGGGGUGGAAUUCCUGGUGUAGCAGUGAAAUGCGUAGAGAUCAGGAGGAACACCGAUGGCGAAGGCAGCCCCCUGGGCCUGUACUGACGCUCAUGCACGAAAGCGUGGGGAGCAAACAGG
This 253-nucleotide ribosomal RNA is filed under the name uncultured microorganism. RNAcentral's name for it is "partial 16S ribosomal RNA". It matches the Rfam family "Bacterial small subunit ribosomal RNA", at positions 524 to 776 of the family's 1533-position model. The record is from RNAcentral.